AGGACGAACGCUGGCGGCGUGCUUAACACAUGCAAGUCGAGGGCACUUUGGGGGCAACUCUGGAGUGACCGGCGAACGGGUGCGUAACACGUGAGCGACCUUGCCUCGUGGUGGGGGAUAGCCGGCCCAAACGGCCGGGUAAUACCGCAUAUGGUAGUUUCUUCGCAUGGGGAGACUAGCAAAGCUGUGGAGUAAUCCAUGGCGCCACAGGGGGGGCUCGCGGCCUAUCAGCUAGUUGGGGGGUAAUGGCCCACCAAGGCGACGACGGGUAGCUGGU
This 277-nucleotide ribosomal RNA is filed under the name uncultured bacterium. Its description in RNAcentral is "partial small subunit ribosomal RNA". It matches the Rfam family "Bacterial small subunit ribosomal RNA", at positions 26 to 291 of the family's 1533-position model. The record is from RNAcentral.